GAUGAACGCUGGCGGCGUGCCUAAUACAUGCAAGUCGAGCGAACAGAUAAGGAGCUUGCUCCUUUGACGUUAGCGGCGGACGGGUGAGUAACACGUGGGUAACCUACCUAUAAGACUGGGAUAACUUCGGGAAACCGGAGCUAAUACCGGAUAACAUUUGGAACCGCAUGGUUCUAAAGUGAAAGAUGGUUUUGCUAUCACUUAUAGAUGGACCCGCGCUGUAUUAGCUAGUUGGUAAGGUAACGGCUUACCAAGGCGACGAUACGUAGCCGACCUGAGAGGGUGAUCGGCCACACUGGAACUGAGACACGGUCCAGACUCCUACGGGAGGCAGCAGUAGGGAAUCUUCCGCAAUGGGCGAAAGCCUGACGGAGCAACGCCGCGUGAGUGAUGAAGGGUUUCGGCUCGUAAAACUCUGUUAUUAGGGAAGAACAAAUGUGUAAGUAACUGUGCACGUCUUGACGGUACCUAAUCAGAAAGCCACGGCUAACUACGUG
RNAcentral lists this ribosomal RNA (497 nucleotides) under uncultured bacterium. RNAcentral's name for it is "partial 16S ribosomal RNA". It matches the Rfam family "Bacterial small subunit ribosomal RNA", at positions 28 to 507 of the family's 1533-position model. The record is from RNAcentral.